UACGUCCAUAGCACGUUUAAACGCCGGUUCUUGUACGACCACCGAAGUUAAGCAACGUCCAGCCUGGUCAGUACCUAGAUGGUUGACCGGUUGAGAAUACCAGGUGCUGUAA
Molecule: non-coding RNA, 112 nt
Organism: Acanthosepion pharaonis
Lineage: Eukaryota; Metazoa; Mollusca; Cephalopoda; Sepiida; Sepiidae
Source: the annotation of a GenBank genome assembly